RNAcentral lists this ribosomal RNA (446 nucleotides) under uncultured bacterium. RNAcentral's name for it is "bacterial SSU rRNA". It matches the Rfam family "Bacterial small subunit ribosomal RNA", at positions 330 to 792 of the family's 1533-position model. The record is from RNAcentral.
GCCAGACUCCUACGGGAGGCAGCAGUGGGGGAUAUUGCACAAUGGGGGGAACCCUGAUGCAGCGACGCCGCGUGGGUGAAGGAGUAUUUCGGUAUGUAAAGCCCUAUCGGCAGGGAAGAAGCAAGACGGUACCUGACUAAGAAGCCCCGGCUAACUACGUGCCAGCAGCCGCGGUAAUACGUAGGGGGCGAGCGUUAUCCGGAUUCACUGGGUGUAAAGGGAGCGUAGACGGCGAUGCAAGCCAGAUGUGAAAGCCCGGGGCUCAACCCCGGGACUGCAUUUGGAACUGUGUGGCUGGAGUGUCGGAGAGGCAGGCGGAAUUCCUAGUGUAGCGGUGAAAUGCGUAGAUAUUAGGAGGAACACCAGUGGCGAAGGCGGCCUGCUGGACGAUGACUGACGUUGAGGCUCGAAAGCGUGGGGAGCAAACAGGAUUAGAUACCCCUGUA